Podarcis lilfordi (Lilford's wall lizard) is the source of this 73-nucleotide non-coding RNA. Lineage: Eukaryota; Metazoa; Chordata; Lepidosauria; Squamata; Lacertidae. The record is from the annotation of a GenBank genome assembly.
GCUGAGAUAGCUCACCUGGUAGAGCGUUAGACUCUUAAUCUCAGGGUUGUGGGUUUGAGCCCCACAUUGGGCA